GAUGAACGCUGGCGGCGUGCCUAAUACAUGCAAGUCGAGCGAACAGAUGAGGAGCUUGCUCCUCUGACGUUAGCGGCGGACGGGUGAGUAACACGUGGAUAACCUACCUAUAAGACUGGGAUAACUUCGGGAAACCGGAGCUAAUACCGGAUAAUAUAUUGAACCGCAUGGUUCAAUAGUGAAAGACGGUUUUGCUGUCACUUAUAGAUGGAUCCGCGCCGCAUUAGCUAGUUGGUAAGGUAACGGCUUACCAAGGCAACGAUGCGUAGCCGACCUGAGAGGGUGAUCGGCCCAACUGGAACUGAGACACGGUCCAGACUCCUACGGGAGGCAGCAGUAGGGAAUCUUCCGCAAUGGGCGAAAGCCUGACGGAGCAACGCCGCGUGAGUGAUGAAGGUCUUCGGAUCGUAAAACUCUGUUAUUAGGGAAGAACAAAUGUGUAAGUAACUAUGCACGUCUUGACGGUACCUAAUCAGAAAGCCACGGCUAACUACGUG
This 497-nucleotide ribosomal RNA is filed under the name uncultured bacterium. Its description in RNAcentral is "partial 16S ribosomal RNA". It matches the Rfam family "Bacterial small subunit ribosomal RNA", at positions 28 to 507 of the family's 1533-position model. The record is from RNAcentral.